AAUGGCUCAUUAAAUCAGUUAUCGUUUAUUUGAUAGUACCUACCAACUACAUGGAUAACCGUGGUAAUUCUAGAGCUAAUACAUGCUAAAAACCCCGACUUCGGGAGGGGUGUAUUUAUUAGAUAAAAAACCAAUGCCCCUCGGGGCUCCUUGGUGAUUCAUGAUAACUCAACGGAUCGCAUGGCCUUGCGCCGGCGACGGUUCAUUCAAAUUUCUGCCCUAUCAACUUUCGAUGGUAAGGUAUUGGCUUACCAUGGUUUCAACGGGUAACGGGGAAUUAGGGUUCGAUUCCGGAGAGGGAGCCUGAGAAACGGCUACCACAUCCAAGGAAGGCAGCAGGCGCGCAAAUUACCCAAUCCCGACUCGGGGAGGUAGUGACAAUAAAUACUGAUACAGGGCUCUUUUGGGUCUUGUAAUCGGAAUGAGUACAAUUUAAACCCCUUAACGAGGAACAAUUGGAGGGCAAGUCUGGUGCCAGCAGCCGCGGUAAUUCCAGCUCCAAUAGCGUAUAUUAAAGUUGUUGCAGUUAAAAAGCUCGUAGUUGAACCUUGGGCCUGGCUGGCCGGUCCGCCUCACCGCGUGUACUGGUCCGGCCGGGCCUUUCCUUCUGGAGAGCCGCAUGCCCUUCACUGGGUGUGUCGGGGAACCAGGACUUUUACUUUGAAAAAAUUAGAGUGUUCAAAGCAGGCCUUUGCUCGAAUACGUUAGCAUGGAAUAAUAGAAUAGGACGUGCGGUCCUAUUUUGUUGGUUUCUAGGACCGCCGUAAUGAUUAAUAGGGAUAGUCGGGGGCAUCAGUAUUCAAUUGUCAGAGGUGAAAUUCUUGGAUUUAUUGAAGACUAACUACUGCGAAAGCAUUUGCCAAGGAUGUUUUCAUUAAUCAGUGAACGAAAGUUAGGGGAUCGAAGACGAUCAGAUACCGUCGUAAUCUUAACCGUAAACUAUGCCGACUAGGGAUCGGGCGAUGUU
RNAcentral lists this ribosomal RNA (967 nucleotides) under Pseudotetraploa bambusicola. RNAcentral's name for it is "SSU rRNA". It matches the Rfam family "Eukaryotic small subunit ribosomal RNA", at positions 92 to 1064 of the family's 1831-position model. Lineage: Eukaryota; Fungi; Ascomycota; Dothideomycetes; Pleosporales; Tetraplosphaeriaceae. The record is from RNAcentral.